UGCCCCAUCGCCCAAUGGUAACGGCACCGGACUUUGACUCCGGGAGUGUUGGUUCGAUUCCAACUGGGGCAGCCA
RNAcentral lists this transfer RNA (75 nucleotides) under Pseudobutyrivibrio sp. RNAcentral's name for it is "tRNA-Gln". It matches the Rfam family "tRNA". From Rfam's summary of the family: Transfer RNA (tRNA) molecules are approximately 80 nucleotides in length. Lineage: Bacteria; Bacillati; Bacillota; Clostridia; Lachnospirales; Lachnospiraceae. The record is from RNAcentral.